ACUAAAUCGUUUCUGAUCGUUGGA
Molecule: microRNA, 24 nt
Filed under: Oryza sativa (Asian cultivated rice)
Lineage: Eukaryota; Viridiplantae; Streptophyta; Magnoliopsida; Poales; Poaceae
Description: osa-miR5801b
Source: miRBase by way of RNAcentral